RNAcentral lists this ribosomal RNA (246 nucleotides) under Clostridioides difficile. RNAcentral's name for it is "partial 23S ribosomal RNA". It matches the Rfam family "Bacterial large subunit ribosomal RNA", at positions 1339 to 1581 of the family's 2925-position model. Lineage: Bacteria; Bacillati; Bacillota; Clostridia; Peptostreptococcales; Peptostreptococcaceae. The record is from RNAcentral.
GUAAACCCAAGGUUUCCAGGGGAAGGUUCGUCCGCCCUGGGUUAGUCGGGACCUAAGCUGAGGCCGAAAGGCGUAGGUGAUGGACAACAGGUUGAUAUUCCUGUACUACCGAUAACCGUUUGAGAGAUGGGAUGACACAGUAGGAUAAGCUAAGCACACUGUUGGUUAUGUGUGCCCAAGCAUUGAGGCAGUCAAAGUAGGCAAAUCCGCUUUGAUAAUGCUGGGAUGUGAUGGGGAGCGAAAUUU